AGAGUUUGAUCAUGGCUCAGAGUGAACGCUGGCGGCGUGCCUAACACAUGCAAGUCGAACGAGAACGGGUAUUAGCUUGCUAAUACUGUCAGCUAAGUGGCGCACGGGUGAGUAAUAUAUAGUUAACCUGCCCCAAAGAAGAGAAUAAUUGUUGGAAACGACUUGUAAUGCUCUAUAUGCCUUUAUUACAUAAGUAAGCAAGGGAAAUAUUUAUAGCUUUGGGAUGGGACUGUACGGUAUCAGAUAGUUGGUGAGGUAAUGGCUCACCAAGUCUAUGACGCCUAACUGGUUUGAGAGGAUGAUCAGUCACACUGGAACUGAGACACGGUCCAGACUCCUACGGGAGGCAGCAGUGGGGAAUAUUGCACAAUGGAGGAAACUCUGAUGCAGCAACGCCGCGUGGAGGAUGACACAUUUCGGUGCGUAAACUCCUUUUAUAUGAGAAGAUAAUGACGGUAUCAUAUGAAUAAGCACCGGCUAACUCCGUGCCAGCAGCCGCGGUAAUACGGGGGGUGCAAGCGUUACUCGGAAUCACUGGGCGUAAAGAGCAUGUAGGCUGGUUUGUAAGUUGGAAGUGAAAUCCUAUGGCUUAACCAUAGAACUGCUUCCAAAACUGCAGACCUAGAAUAUGGGAGAGGUAGAUGGAAUUUCUGGUGUAGGGGUAAAAUCCGUAGAGAUCAGAAGGAAUACCGAUUGCGAAGGCGAUCUACUGGAACAUUAUUGACGCUGAGAUGCGAAAGCGUGGGGAGCAAACAGGAUUAGAUACCCUGGUAGUCCACGCCCUAAACGAUGCACACUAGUUGUUGCUAUGCUAGACAUAGCAGUAAUGCGGUUAACACAGUAAGU
This 846-nucleotide ribosomal RNA is filed under the name bacterium endosymbiont of Osedax mucofloris. RNAcentral's name for it is "bacterial SSU rRNA". It matches the Rfam family "Bacterial small subunit ribosomal RNA", at positions 8 to 865 of the family's 1533-position model. The record is from RNAcentral.